Molecule: ribosomal RNA, 256 nt
Filed under: uncultured bacterium
Lineage: Bacteria
Description: partial 16S ribosomal RNA
Rfam family: Bacterial small subunit ribosomal RNA
Source: RNAcentral
UACGUAGGGUGCAAGCGUUGUCCGGAAUUAUUGGGCGUAAAGAGCUCGUAGGCGGUCUGUCACGUCGGCUGUGAAAACUCGGGGCUCAACCCCGAGCCUGCAGUCGAUACGGGCAGACUAGAGUCCGGCAGGGGAGACUGGAAUUCCUGGUGUAGCGGUGAAAUGCGCAGAUAUCAGGAGGAACACCGGUGGCGAAGGCGGGGUCUCUGGGCCGGAACUGACGCUGGAGGAAGCGAAAGCGUGGGGAGCGAACAGG